UAUCAAUUCUGAAAUUUCCUUAACCACUACAGACCCUCAACAGACAAGAAUGUGUUGCGACAUCUGUGAAUGCGUGUGCAGUUUCAUGGCUAAAUUGUGUUGUGAAUUCCUUUGUGAGGAUUGCUGUGACUGUUGCGAAGAUUCUUACGAUGACAAAGAAGAAAAGAGGAAGAGAAAACAAGAACAACAAGAUAAAGUCGUGUCUUCACAACCUACAAAUAAUGAGCCUUCCAGAAGACCAUUAGUAUGACAUCAUUACAUUGAACUCUUUAUCAGUACUUUGUAGUUUGAAUUGAUGUGAAUAGUAAUAAAAUCUAUUUAUUUUAUAAA
Penaeus monodon (black tiger shrimp) is the source of this 330-nucleotide long non-coding RNA. RefSeq lists it as uncharacterized. NCBI's taxonomy places the organism in Eukaryota, Metazoa, Arthropoda, Malacostraca, Decapoda, Penaeidae. The transcript is spliced from 3 exons. The record is from RefSeq and is a predicted model, not a curated record.